Molecule: RNA transcript, 6313 nt
Organism: Lagenorhynchus albirostris (white-beaked dolphin)
Lineage: Eukaryota; Metazoa; Chordata; Mammalia; Artiodactyla; Delphinidae
Gene: LACC1
Gene name: laccase domain containing 1
Exons: 8
Source: RefSeq, a predicted model, not a curated record
GCUCGCGGCCUCCUGGUCUCGUUCAGGCGGAGGACUGGGGGCGGCAGACGCCUCAGAGCUCGCCGCCCACCGAGUGUGCAGCGGAAGGCGACGCGCGACGGGCGAGGACGGAGAACGGCCUCGGGUGUGCGUCCGGCCGUCGGAAAAUCUCGAAGGGGCGGGAGGAGUCCGGCAGGUGAUUUUGGGGGGCACAAAAACCUUCUUUGAAGAACUUUGUACAGUGUUGAAGGAUGGCAGAAGCAGUAUUGAUAGAUCUCUUUGGUUUGAAAUUAAACUCUCAGAAAAACUGUCAUCAGACAUUACUAAUGACAUUGAAUGCUGUCCGAAACCACCAUGGUGCCAAGGCCAAGUUCCUUUGCAUAAUGUGUUGCAGUAACAUCAGCUGUGACCAUGAUGAUUGUGAAUUAGAAACAAGCAAUGGAUUAUCUGCUUUCCUGAGAGAAUUUGAGACUGUUAGCAAUUCCAGCAUGGCUGCCUCAUUGUAUACCAUUAAACAAAAAAUUGAUGAAAAAAAUUUGAGCAGCAUUAAGGUAAUUGUGCCUGUGCACCGGAAGACAUUAAUGAAGGCUUUUAUUGGUCAACUCUUCACUGAUGUUUACAAUUUUGAGUUUGAAGAUUUACAGAUGACUUUGAGGGGAGGUCUUUUGAAACAGCCUACUGAAAUAAACAUAAUCACAGCUCAAGAACUAGAAGCAAUCCAGAAUGAAAUAGAAACAUAUUUGAGAAGUUUGCCAACACUGAAAGGAGAAUUAACCAUUAUCACAUCUCCUUUGAUCCCAGAUAUUUUCAUACAUGGAUUUACUACAAGAACAGGUGGGAUAUCUUACAUACCAACUCUUAGCUCAUUCAACCUCUUCAGUAGUUCCAAACGGAGAGAUCCCAAGGCUGUUGUUCAAGAAAAUCUGCGUAGGCUGGGGAAUGCAGCAGGAUUUAACGUGAAGAAAUUUUACCGAAUAAAGACUGAUCAUGCCAAUGAUGUCUGGAUUAUGGGAAGGAAGGAGCCUGAAUCUUACGAUGGAAUCACCACAAAUCAAAGAGGAGUCACAAUAGCGGCUCUUGGUGCUGACUGUAUACCGAUAGUUUUUGCCGAUCCUGUCAGAAAAGCAUGUGGGGUUGCUCACUCUGGUUGGAGAGGUACUUUGUUAGGUGUUGCUAUGGCUACAGUGAAUGCUAUGAUAGCAGAAUACGGCUGUAGUUUGGAAGACAUUAUUGUUGUACUGGGGCCUUCAGUAGGACCUUGCUGUUUUACUCUUCCAAGGGAAUCAGCAAAGGCAUUUCAUAAUCUUGAUCCCGGAUGUGUACGGCUCUUUGGCUCACCAAAUCCCUAUGUUGACAUCCGUAAAGCCACGAGGAUUCUUCUAGAACAGGGAGGAAUUCUACCACAGAAUAUUCAGGACCAGAACCAAGAUCUCAACCUCUGUACCUCCUGUCAUCCUGACAAGUUUUUCUCCCAUGUCCGAGAUGGCCUUAACUUUGGUACACAGAUUGGCUUCAUAUCAAUUAGAGAAUGAGAUACUUGAUUGGAUUUUUGCAUAACUAUUUCCUGCUUCCUUCCAAACCAACUGUAAGAGAGAAAUUUAGCUGUUUGAUAUACUUAAAACCAAAAGGAUUAUAAUGAAUAAUUCAUCUUUCAGAUAUAUUUUCAUUAUUAUCCAAAGCCAAAUGAUUUCAUUGAUUCUAACAAUAACUGACACAAAAUUAAUAUGAUGUAUUGGGUUGGCCAAAGAUUUGCUCAGUUAAUGAAUACGUUGUUCAAUAAUGUUCUUGGUGAAAAUGAAAAAUGUGUCUUUUAUUUUUACUUAAACCCAAAUGAACUUUUUGGCCAACCCAAUAGUUUAUAUGUUACACAGAUAAGGAUUAUUCUUAAAGUUUGUAGUCUGUAUUUGUUAUGUAAAUCAGGAAUAGGUCUAUUCAGUUUAGUAUUUAUUGGGUAGCCUCUAUUUGUCAAGUGUUGUGUGAAUCAUAGGUGAAAUCAAGAUGAGUAAUACUUUUUCCCUUUGAGUCUAAUGCAGUGGAAGAGAUAAACACUUCUAACACUUUAAUUUUAAUAGCCAAAGAGUACAGGAGAAGGGAGGAUUAAUUCUAUGUGAAAGGCAGAAUAGAGAAGGUAUUACAGGGAACAUGAUUUACCACAUGCGCCUGAAAGAUGAUGUAUAGGCUUUUGACAAAUAAAGAACAGCCAUAACAGGUAGAGGGAAUACCAUAAACUAGGGCGUGAAGCUGUACGUGUAUAACAUGUUCUGCAAAGAGAAAGGUGUGGGCAGGAGUUACUGGAAAAACAGCUUAGAAACAGAUUAGUUCAGGUCUUGAAUACUGUGAGAGAGUUUGGAGUUUAUUUUCCAGGCAAAGAGUAGGCAUAGAAAGUAGGAGAGUGUUUUUAUGUCCUUGGCAUUAUAUUUAACAGGAUGGAUUUAACUUGUGAGAGACUAAAGCAGAGAGAUUAGUUAAGAGGCAGUCACGAUACUUUUAAAAACAAAUAAUGAAACCUGAAUGCAGUGGAAAUUAAAACAGAGGCAAGAGUAGAUGAAUUAGCGAGACAUUUCAGAGAUGGAAUCUGCAGAUCCUGUUCCUAGAUCAUGGAGGUAAGAGAUGAGGAAGAGUGGAGAAGUCCCUGAUGCCUCCACAGUCUCUGCUUGGCUGACUACCUAGAGUGGCAGCAAAGAUGGGGAGGAGGUUUGGGGCAAUGGGGAGGGAUGAUGAGAUUGACACAAAGACUGAAGUACAUCCAGGUGGAAAUUAUGUGGUCAACAAUUAGAAAUAGAGACCAGGAACCUGGGAGGGAGUUGCGAAAAAGACAGCAAUUUGGGAGUUGGUUAUGCAGAGGCAAUGCCCGAGUCUGCUGGAAUAGGCUGGAUCAUCUCCGUAGAAACAUAGAGUGAGAAGAAGGGAGGUCCAAGGAUGAAACCUCAUGCAACACUUGCAUUUGGAGAGCCAGAAGCUGAACCAGUCAAAACGAUUGAUCCUAGAAGAAAAAAAUGUAUAGUCAUUUUGGAGAAAGAAGCCAGCAUCGAUAUGAGAGGAAAAGAAAUCUUCAGGGAGUUCCCUGGUGGCCUAGUGGUUAGGAUUUGGUGCUUUCACUAUGGAGGCCCAGAUUUGAUCCCUGGUCCGCAUCUUGCAUGCCAUUCAGCGUGGCCAAAAUACAAAAAUAAAUAAGUAAGUAAGUUAAAAAAAAAAAAGAAAUCUUCAGAGAGAAAAUGAGAAGAAACCAAUGGAUUAACCAUGUUGAAGCUGUUCUAUAGGUCAUGGUGGAGGAGUCAGAUUUCAGUUCUUUGAGGACGAGGAUGCACCAGUGUCAACCCUUCUUCGCUAGUAUUUAUUGGAGAAAAUAAAGCACCGAGGGCUGUAUUUUGAAGCAUGUGUGUGUGUGUGUGUGUGUGUGGGGGAUGAGUAGUCUUAAGUGUAUUUGUAGGCUGAAGAGAGGAGUUAGGCUGUUUUCACUUGGGAAAAAUGGUAUGUAUGGUACAUACUUUUAAUGUGAAUUGUCACAUUGUACCUUAAAAAGCUUUCUUAUUUCAUACAUAUAUUUCUUACCUGAAUAUGCAGAAAAUUACAUUUGUUUGGUACUUAUAAAGGACUUUCAAGUCCAUUACCUCAUUUUACCUUUACAGGUACCUUGAAGUACAUGUCAGGUGCUAUUCCUUUUAUUCAGAUGAGAAAACUGAGCCUCGUUCAGGUAGAGGCUAAAAUCACAUAAUUUGUGAUAAAGUAAGAUUUGAACCCACAUCUUGUGACUCCAAAUGUCAUUUCAGAUUUUACAGUUAAUCAGAGCUAUCUAAAUUAAAUUUUUGCAACUUUUUGUUAAUAUCACGUAUUCAUCCACUCAGUCAAAAUUUUGUUGAGGUGCUAGGGUAGGUUAAAAAUCAUAGUUAUGGCCCUCAAAAUAUUUAAUAUCCAGUGAAAGUGACAUUCAAUAAAGCAACAAUUUUAAUACUGUGAUAUGUGUUGUAAGGUUGCUUAAUUCUUUUAUGUAACUCAUAGCUCAGUGUGAAAUUUAUAUAUAACACCUCAUUUCUUCCAAUUUAGGGAAGGCAUUAAAUACAAAUCAUAGGACAAACUCAUGCAAUCAAACUCAUGUAAAAUACUCUUGUUUCAUGAUAACAAUAAGAUUAAGAAAUAAUUCCAUUGAGAAAGAUGGAUAAUUUUCCAGUUCUUCACUGUAUAUUAUUUUGUUGAAUGCAGAGUAUUAGGCAGCCAUGUUUUACUUUAUGUAUCAAAGUACUCCAAAACCAAAUAAAAAUUAUGUUUGAUUAUCUAUGAUUUUGCAUUAUCUGUGUCAAAGCAUAGAAUGAAAAGUUGUCUCCUUGCUGUUUUACUGAGUGAAAAGUAUUUAUUCAGUAACUCAAAAACAGAAUGUUGGUUGUUAAAUAGUCAUAUCUUAUUGCCUCUACAAGAUCUCUCUCAUUUUUAAGCAUUUGUAUAUAGGUUUCUGGGACUUUCAGGGUGUAACUACAAUGAUGACUUUUAAUAAGUUUUCUGUUUUCAAUCUAAGCACUACUACUAACUGCACAUAGAAAAUAUAAGUUGUCAUUUUAGUAAGACGAUAAAUUAAGUUUGUAAAUCAGAGCUCAUGACAUGAUUUUUUAGAGGUGCUAAUUAGCGAACUAAAAUUUAUCUAAUUGUAAUUUUAAAUUCUGAAGAGUAGCAUAGUGAUUAAAUAUGCUAUACUCCAUUGCUUUAUAAAGCAAAGGAAAAAAUGAUCUUUCCACUAGGAGGUAGUAUUUCUACAAGUAGCUCUGCUCUGUUUCUUGGUAUAAAGUUGAACCAAUCUUAAUCUCUAUUUAUUUGUACAAAACACAUAUAUAGCUCUUACUGUAGAUGCAACUUAUUAUAGUUCAAGUAGGUAAAAACAUUUAGGAAUCCUCACCUACCUGGGUCUCACUUCUACAGAAUCUCCAGUAACUGCUCUUCUGUAAAUAGAUUGGGGGGUGGGAGGGAUUCAAAGAAGCUUAUUCUGUGUCACAUGACAAAAACAUACAUGAUACCCAUGGAUUCAGAAGCUGGAAAUAAGAGGACAGUGACAUAUGAACUCAUUUUAUAUCUCAAAGUAGGAUUUGAUCUUUGUUUUCACUCAGUUGUCCUAAAGUUAUACUUCCGAUGUAUCCAUCCUUUUAUGUGAACUCUUCGUGCCACCAAUCUUAGACAUGGAUCUGUGUGUGUGCUAAAUGGUAAACAAGAAGUAUGUGCCAUGUAUGGUGCAUAGCCUCUUUGCCCCAGCUACUGUAAAGUCACACAAAAUACAUUGGAUGCAGUGGAAUCAUAGAUUUCCCUCUAUAAAAAUUUUGUAUAUCGGGCAGUAAAGAAUGGAAGCAUGGUCCUUAUGCUCACUGUAUGUGUUUAUGGGAGCUCUGGUCUAGAGCACGUCCAUUUCCAUUGUAGGCAGUGUUUUUAAACUUUACUUGUGAUUUCAAAGAUGAGGCAACUGCUGUAAGUAAUGCAUUGUUCCGUGUGAGGUCAUUGCUUAAUGAAGGAAAAAGAAAUCUGCCAGUACUGCUUUUUCCGGAUUAAUGCAUUUGGUUUGGACUCACAAUGAUUAUAUGUCAGUUGUGUGGAGACAAACUUCUCAUACUCUCCGUAGACACAUUUUCUUCGUAGAGAAAGAAAUGGUUACAUCACGCUCCCUAUGUCUGUGCCAAUUGCCUGAGGUGAGCUAUGUCCUUUCUGUAUCUGGAGCAGGCUUUUUCUUUUAUGUAGUUCUCAAAAGACUGGGGUGUCCAGUUACUGUAUCUUAUUAAACAAUUAAAAUUUCUAGCAGAUUCAGUAGCUCAAAAUACCACAUUCCUUUCUAACAACAACAAAAAGGGUACUCUCAUUCCAUGAGAAACAUCUGUAGAAAAUAGACCUGUUUGUGGUGACAAUUGAGUUUUGAAUUUUUAUUUUCCUUUAUUUUCUUCUAUUUAUUUUUGCAUCAUACAUUCCUACAGUUUACAUCUUACCAGUGCUUCCCUAUUAUUUCACUUUCCUUAAGUACUUGUUUUAGCCUGAAUCUAAUCAAGCUCUAGAGCUAAUUAUCAAUGUGUAAGAAAUAUGGGGGAGGGAGGAUUAAGUUAAAGGAUACCACAAAUUUGGGGUGGUAAAAAAGUGAUCCACUUUUUGAAACUGGUCAAGAAUUUUAAAAAGGGUGGGAGAUACAGCUGAAACCAAUAUGUCAACUAUACUUCAAUAAAAUUUUUUUUAAAUAAAAAAGUGGCUAUAUCAUUUUACCAAAAAAAAAGAUAGGAGGGGGACUAUUCUGGAUUAAAAUAAAUUUAUUAGACCUAACAGUCCCAUGAAAUGAGUGGGCCUAGUUUGGAUUCCAAUGAGAAGAAAUAAACUA